RNAcentral lists this ribosomal RNA (422 nucleotides) under uncultured bacterium. Its description in RNAcentral is "partial 16S ribosomal RNA". It matches the Rfam family "Bacterial small subunit ribosomal RNA", at positions 359 to 773 of the family's 1533-position model. The record is from RNAcentral.
GAAUUUUGGACAAUGGGGGCAACCCUGAUCCAGCCAUCCCGCGUGUGCGAUGAAGGCCUUCGGGUUGUAAAGCACUUUUGGCAGGGAAGAAAAGGCUCUGGCUAAUACCUGGAGCUGCUGACGGUACCUGCAGAAUAAGCACCGGCUAACUACGUGCCAGCAGCCGCGGUAAUACGUAGGGUGCAAGCUGUAAUCGGAAUUUAUGGGCGGAAAGGGGGGGGAGGCGGUGUGGGAAGAAGGGUGUGAAAUCCCAGGGGUUAAACUUGGAAAUGCAUUCUUUACUGCCGGGCUAGAGUAUGUCAGAGGGGGGUAGAAUUCCGCGUGUAGCAGUGAAAUGCGUAGAGAUGCGGAGGAAUACCGAUGGCGAAGGCAGCCCCCUGGGAUAAUACUGACGCUCAUGCACGAAAGCGUGGGGAGCAAAC